AGGUAUCAUAACCUCCCUCUGUACACAUACUGUGCAUGUGCAGUCAUCAUCUUCUCUGAGCGCUCUGUCAAAAACGGUAAUAUACAUCACUGGGCAGCUCCCCUGGCUUCUUGGUGUCUUUCUAACCACAUACCCACUGACUAACACAGCAGGGACCCACAUCCAGACAGCUUAUGAAAGAGGACAGUAAGAAUCUGUUGCAGUUAAGUCAAACUUUUAAAAUCUUCAAGAAAAGAAAAUGGGUCAACAAGAUACAAAACAUACCAUUACAUACGUAGGGGACCAUGAAUCACGACGACGGGCAGAGAAGGCAGAAGCAGAAAAUACAAGAGUGGAAGAGAUAUGCAAACGUCUCCAAGACGAGAACUUGAGAAUGGAAACAGAACAACGGAUGGUCAAAGAACAAAAUCAAGAGCUCGAGAGGCAGAAACAAAUAUUAAUCGAAUCCCAAAGAAAUAAGGAAGAAGAAGAAAGGACCAGGAUAUAUAAACACCUGAAAGCAGCAAAAUAAGAAGAUAUAACUGUAGACAGCGUCUAAGGUUGAGCACUGAAUAACACUGAACUUGUCAUUUAACGAAUGAGGUUGCAGCUACGGUACACUUUCAAAAUCAUACAAUGUAGGAGUUCACUUGUUUUUUUUGCAUACAUACAAUUGUUGCUGUUUUCUUUCCUUUCUGUAUUUUCUAUUAAACUUAUUUUGCAAUUGGCCUAUAGGAUUAUUCAAGAAAGUAUAAUUAAAUGUUAUUUAGUAGGCUCAUUGCAUAUGAUUAUGUACAUCCCUAAUACAUUUAAUAUAGACAUGAUUGUAAUAGCCUCUGGGGGUAAAUUCCUACAACAGAAGACAUAAGGAAAAUAUUUGAAUUCAUUACAUUUUUUAAAUUAAAUAAUAAAAAAGUCAUUAAAUUUUUUUUUAAGAGGAAUAUACAUGUUAAAUGUGUAAGUAAAGUAUAACAAAGCCAGUCAUCCAGUGACAAGUUACUAAUUAUUCGGUGAAUUUUGAUUAAUUUCCAUUACGAUUAUCUGCUUAAAAGUGUAGUUUAUGUCAACCAUGCACAUUUUAUACAUUUCAAAAUACCAAGGACUGUUAAUGGCUAGCCGACUCAAAUCCUUUUUCAUCAUGACACAUCCCACACAACCCAUGUCGCUCAUGAACAAAAAAUAUAAACAUGUUUCAUGAGCUGAAAUAAAAGAUCCCAGAAAUGUU
This is a long non-coding RNA of Salmo salar (Atlantic salmon), 1204 nucleotides long. RefSeq lists it as uncharacterized. Lineage: Eukaryota; Metazoa; Chordata; Actinopteri; Salmoniformes; Salmonidae. The record is from RefSeq and is a predicted model, not a curated record.